RNAcentral lists this ribosomal RNA (301 nucleotides) under uncultured bacterium. RNAcentral's name for it is "partial 16S ribosomal RNA". It matches the Rfam family "Bacterial small subunit ribosomal RNA", at positions 509 to 808 of the family's 1533-position model. The record is from RNAcentral.
CAGUCGCCGCGGUAAUACGUAGGUCCCGAGCGUUGUCCGGAUUUAUUGGGCGUAAAGCGAGCGCAGGCGGUUAGAUAAGUCUGAAGUUAAAGGCUGUGGCUUAACCAUAGUACGCUUUGGAAACUGUUUAACUUGAGUACAAGAGGGGAGAGUGGAAUUCCAUGUGUAGCGGUGAAAUGCGUAGAUAUAUGGAGGAACACCGGUGGCGAAAGCGGCUCUCUGGCUUGUAACUGACGCUGAGGCUCGAAAGCGUAGGGAGCAAACAGGAUUAGAUACCCCCGUAGUCCCUGUCUCUUAUACA